Molecule: ribosomal RNA, 253 nt
Filed under: uncultured bacterium
Lineage: Bacteria
Description: partial 16S ribosomal RNA
Rfam family: Bacterial small subunit ribosomal RNA
Source: RNAcentral
UACAGAGGGUGCAAGCGUUGUUCGGAAUUAUUGGGCGUAAAGCGCGUGUAGGCGGCUUUGCAAGUCGGGUGUGAAAGCCCUCAGCUCAACUGAGGAAGUGCGCCCGAAACUGCAGAGCUUGAGUGCCGGAGAGGGUGGCGGAAUUCCCCAAGUAGAGGUGAAAUUCGUAGAUAUGGGGAGGAACACCAGUGGCGAAGGCGGCGACCUGGGCCAAUAUUGACGCUGAGGUGCGAAAGCGUGGGGAGCAAACAGG